Molecule: ribosomal RNA, 401 nt
Filed under: uncultured bacterium
Lineage: Bacteria
Description: bacterial SSU rRNA
Rfam family: Bacterial small subunit ribosomal RNA
Source: RNAcentral
GAAUCUUCCGCAAUGCGCGAAAGCGUGACGGAGCAAUGCCGCGUGCAGGAUGAAGCCCCUCGGGGUGUAAACUGCUGUCAGGGAUUAGCAACACAAUGAGCAAACCCAAAGGAAGACGCGACUAACUCUGUGCCAGCAGUCGCGGUAAUACAGAGGCCUCAAGCGUUAAUCGGAGUCAUUGGGCUUAAAGCGUACGUAGGCGGACGCGCAGGCAUCUUGUGAAAUCCCCCGACUCAACCGGGGAACGGCUUGGUGAACCGCGCGCCUUGAGACAGGUAGGGGCCAUCGGAACGAUAGGUGGAGUGGUGAAAUGCGUUGAUAUCUAUCGGAACGCCGAAGGAGAAAUCAGGUGGCUGGGCCUGUUCUGACGCUCAGGUACGAAAGCGUGGGGAGCGAACGGG